RNAcentral lists this transfer RNA (74 nucleotides) under Paracoccaceae bacterium. RNAcentral describes it as "tRNA-Thr". It matches the Rfam family "tRNA". Rfam says of the family: Transfer RNA (tRNA) molecules are approximately 80 nucleotides in length. Their secondary structure includes four short double-helical elements and three loops (D, anti-codon, and T loops). The record is from RNAcentral. Lineage: Bacteria; Pseudomonadati; Pseudomonadota; Alphaproteobacteria; Rhodobacterales; Paracoccaceae.
GCUGCUGUAGCUCAGUGGUAGAGCGCACCCUUGGUAAGGGUGAGGUCGGGAGUUCAAUCCUCCCAGCAGCACCA